RNAcentral lists this ribosomal RNA (429 nucleotides) under Gemmatimonadota bacterium. RNAcentral's name for it is "Gemmatimonadetes bacterium partial 16S ribosomal RNA". It matches the Rfam family "Bacterial small subunit ribosomal RNA", at positions 355 to 776 of the family's 1533-position model. Lineage: Bacteria; Pseudomonadati; Gemmatimonadota. The record is from RNAcentral.
UAGGGAAUCUUCGGCAAUGGACGAAAGUCUGACCGAGCAACGCCGCGUGAGUGAAGAAGGUUUUCGGAUCGUAAAACUCUGUUGUUAGAGAAGAACAAGGACGUUAGUAACUGAACGUCCCCUGACGGUAUCUAACCAGAAAGCCACGGCUAACUACGUGCCAGCAGCCGCGGUAAUACGUAGGUGGCAAGCGUUGUCCGGAUUUAUUGGGCGUAAAGCGAGCGCAGGCGGUUUCUUAAGUCUUAUGUGAAAGCCCCCGGCUCAACCGGGGAGGGUCAUUGGAAACUGGGAGACUUGAGUGCAGAAGAGGAGAGUGGAAUUCCAUGUGUAGCGGUGAAAUGCGUAGAUAUAUGGAGGAACACCAGUGGCGAAGGCGGCUCUCUGGUCUGUAACUGACGCUGAGGCUCGAAAGCGUGGGGAGCAAACAGG